AUAUUUCUAGUCUUCCCCCUUUCUCCUCAGCUACUCAUUCAAAUCACAUUUGAAGUAUGUAUCGUGUACAAAUUCCUAUAUAUAACCUUAUACCUACCACAGGCUCCUCACAAUUAUUUUCUUAUCUACAGCUCUCAUACAUACCAUUCUCUUUGAGUGAAACAAAAAUGAUGGGGCGUUCAAUGCGUUUGUUUGCAACUGUGUUACUCUUGCUAAUGGUUGUCUUUGCCACUGAGAUAGGGACCGCAGAGGCAAGGAGCUGUGAGUGAGCUAGCCAAAGGUUCAAAGGAUUGUGUACCAGAAACAGCGACUGUGCAUCUUUUUGCAACAUUGAAGGCUUCCCUAAUGGCAAAUGCAAAGGCUUUCGACGUCGUUGCUUUUGUACCAGAAAUUGUUAAAUAUAUCUAUCUAAUGGAGUAAUUAAGUAUGUGAAAUGAGAAUAACGUGCGUUCAAUAUGUUUAGCACGAAGUAUUAAGUACUGUUAUUAAGGUUGAAUGUACUACUUUUAGUAUUUGAUUAUGUUGAAAGCUACUCCUCUUGUCCCAAUUUGUAUGAGGGUAUUGAUUGGGCAUGGAAUAUAAGAAUGAAAGGAAGAUUUUUGUA
Lycium ferocissimum is the source of this 604-nucleotide long non-coding RNA. RefSeq lists it as uncharacterized. Lineage: Eukaryota; Viridiplantae; Streptophyta; Magnoliopsida; Solanales; Solanaceae. The record is from RefSeq and is a predicted model, not a curated record. The transcript has 2 exons.